CCUAGGGGAGGCUGCAGUGAGGAAUUUUGCGCAAUGGGGGAAACCCUGACGCAGCAACGCCGCGUGAGUGAAGAAGGCCUUCGGGUCGUAAAGCUCUGUCAAGUGGAAAAAACGAUUUACGGUAAAUAGCCGUAGAUUUUGAUGGUACCACUAGAGGAAGCACCGGCUAACUCCGUGCCAGCAGCCGCGGUAAUACGGAGGGUGCAAGCGUUGUUCGGAAUUACUGGGCGUAAAGAGAGUGUAGGCGGUAUGGUAAGUCAGAUGUGAAAGCCCUGGGCUUAACCCUGGAAGUGCAUUUGAUACUGCUAUUCUUGAGUAUGGGAGAGGUGAGUGGAAUUCCCAGUGUAGAGGUGAAAUUCGUAGAUAUUGGGAGGAACAUCCGUGGCGAAGGCGACUCUCUGGACCAAUACUGACGCUGAGACGCGAAAGCGUGGGGAUCAAACA
Molecule: ribosomal RNA, 444 nt
Filed under: uncultured prokaryote
Description: bacterial SSU rRNA
Rfam family: Bacterial small subunit ribosomal RNA
Source: RNAcentral